AGAGACAGCAGUAGCCACGGUAAUACGUAGGUGGCGAGCGUUGUCCGGAAUUAUUGGGCGUAAAGGGAGCGCAGGCGGACAUAUAAGUCCAUCUUAAAAGUGCGGGGCUCAACCCCGUGAGGGGAUGGAAACUGUAUGCCUUGAAUGCAGGAGAGGAAAGCGGAAUUCCCAGUGUAACGGUGAAAUGCGUAGAUAUUGGGAGGAACACCAGUGGCGAAGGCGGCUUUCUGGACUGUAACUGACGCUGAGGCUCGAAAGCCAGGGGAGCGAACGGGAUUAGAUACCCCAGUAGUCCCUGUCUCUUAUACA
Molecule: ribosomal RNA, 309 nt
Filed under: uncultured bacterium
Lineage: Bacteria
Description: partial 16S ribosomal RNA
Rfam family: Bacterial small subunit ribosomal RNA
Source: RNAcentral